UACGGAGGAUCCGAGCGUUAUCCGGAUUUAUUGGGUUUAAAGGGUGCGCAGGCGGGAGAUUAAGUCGGCGGUGAAAGUUUGCAGCUUAACUGUAAAAUUGCCGUUGAAACUGCCGGUCUUGAGUGCAAAUGAGGUAGGCGGAAUGCGUCGUGUAGCGGUGAAAUGCUUAGAUAUGACGCAGAACUCCGAUUGCGAAGGCAGCUUACUGGGAUGCAACUGACGCUGAGGCACGAAAGCGUGGGUAUCAAACAGGAUUAGAUACCCGGGUA
RNAcentral lists this ribosomal RNA (269 nucleotides) under uncultured prokaryote. Its description in RNAcentral is "partial 16S ribosomal RNA". It matches the Rfam family "Bacterial small subunit ribosomal RNA", at positions 524 to 792 of the family's 1533-position model. The record is from RNAcentral.